AUGGGCCUUGGAAUGCACGACAGGCAAUUGGUAAAGGUCCAGGCUCACCCACCAACAAUAUUAAAAAACAAAAAGCAAAAGUCUUGGUCUCUGCGCGUUCAUUUAGCUCAAUUUCACAGUAAAUUUCAAAAUCCACAAAGCAAAACAACCUAUACGACAAAGCCAAAAAGAAUAAACAUUCAACGAAAGUGGAAGGAAAAGACCUUGCAGCAACAAGGAAAGAAAAAUUACAACAUUCCCAUGGCUAAUAAGAAUAUAGGGUAA
This 264-nucleotide long non-coding RNA is filed under the name Prunus dulcis (almond). Its description in RNAcentral is "sRNA ncRNA". The record is from RNAcentral. Lineage: Eukaryota; Viridiplantae; Streptophyta; Magnoliopsida; Rosales; Rosaceae.